This 326-nucleotide ribosomal RNA is filed under the name uncultured Actinomycetes bacterium. RNAcentral's name for it is "bacterial SSU rRNA". It matches the Rfam family "Bacterial small subunit ribosomal RNA", at positions 66 to 376 of the family's 1533-position model. Lineage: Bacteria; Bacillati; Actinomycetota; Actinomycetes. The record is from RNAcentral.
ACGAGUCAUCCGAUCCCGGAUGUAGGAAGACUAGUGGCGAACGGGUGCGUAACACGUGAGAAACCUGCCCCGGUCUCUGGAAUAACAGUUGGAAACCGACUGCUAAUACCGGAUGCCGUCGGACCAUCGCAAUGGUGGACCGACAAAAGGGUUACCCGGAUCGGGAGGGUCUCAGCGGUCUAAUCAGAUUGUUGGUGAGAGUAACAGAUCACCAAGGCAUCGGAGGGUAGACUGGUCUGAGAGGAUGAUCAGACACACUUGGGACUGAGACACGGGCCAAACUCCUACCGGGAGGCAGCACUGGGGACAUCUUGCACCAAAUGGGC